Molecule: ribosomal RNA, 465 nt
Filed under: uncultured bacterium
Lineage: Bacteria
Description: partial 16S ribosomal RNA
Rfam family: Bacterial small subunit ribosomal RNA
Source: RNAcentral
GACGAACGCUGGCGGCGUGCUUAACACAUGCAAGUCGAACGGUAAGGCUCCAGCUUGCUGGGGUACACGAGUGGCGAACGGGUGAGUAACACGUGGGUGACCUGCCCUGCACUUCGGGAUAAGCCUGGGAAACUGGGUCUAAUACCGGAUAGGGCCGCUCCGUGAGGGUGUGGUGGAAAGUUUUUUCGGUGUGGGAUGGGCCCGCGGCCUAUCAGCUUGUUGGUGGGGUAAUGGCCUACCAAGGCGGCGACGGGUAGCCGGCCUGAGAGGGUGGACGGCCACAUUGGGACUGAGACACGGCCCAGACUCCUACGGGAGGCAGCAGUGGGGAAUAUUGCACAAUGGGCGGAAGCCUGAUGCAGCGACGCCGCGUGGGGGAUGACGGCCUUCGGGUUGUAAACUCCUUUCACCAUCGACGAAGGGUUUCUGACGGUAGAUGGAGAAGAAGCACCGGCUAACUACGUG